Molecule: long non-coding RNA, 937 nt
Organism: Dendroctonus ponderosae (mountain pine beetle)
Lineage: Eukaryota; Metazoa; Arthropoda; Insecta; Coleoptera; Curculionidae
Exons: 2
Source: RefSeq, a predicted model, not a curated record
AAUUCUAAUAUAUUUAAAUAUUUAUCUAUAACAAACUCACUUCCUACACAUAAUUCUACUGAGUGCUUUGACCAAUAUACUUCUCAACCCCUUCAUAUUGCCAUGCUGUUUGUUUCAAAUACUCCAAUUCGCUUCUUAAAUCUUUCAGUCGGUUUUCAUGCUGCUCUUGUACUUGCAUUUCUUGACAUGUUGUAAUGACCUCGUAAAACUUGGUAUUUUUUAUAACUGCACUUGAAGACUCUUCACUCCUUUCUUCAUGAGCGGGGGUAAAUAGUACACAUUUCGGAACAUUCAGAUUAGCCAUAUUUUGACAAAUUCAGGUGCACGAAUGUUGUUAUAGGUUAUGUAUACGGGGCCAUAGAUCACAGAGGUCACUCUGUAAUCUGUGAACGGGGUUCCGUGCGCCGUUGCCGUGAUAACGAAAAGUAAUAAUUCCUGGGGUUAGUGGAAGCGUCAAUAGUUGUAUAGGCGCGAAUCUUGACAUCUCUGGUCCCGGUGAAUGACGCGCAGUUUGACAAUUUUAAAUUUAGCGCCGUUUGAAGUAUUUUUGUAAAACAAAUUGAAGGAGAAUAUUUAAAUAACUUGCAUCCAGCAUCUGGCAUUGACAGCUCUGACGCCGGGUUUCUUUAUCAUCAUGUUUUCUGUGCGAAAGUGGCAGUUUUUGAUUGAUUCGAAUAAGAUUUUUAAAGUUGCUUAUGUUUAUAUAGCAUUUAAUUAACUAAUUUUGUUCAGAACGCCAUUGUAAAAUAAGCUUGGAAUUGUGGAAUUUUCUUGCGGAAACUGUGGAAGCUUCUCACAAAUUUCACCCACAGCCGGACAAACUAAAAACUAAAACUUGCGCCUAAAAGUCAAGCAUUGAAGGUGAUUUACUUCGAUCGAUUGAUUUUCACGAUUUGAUAAGUGACUUUGCCAGAGAAAAAUAAAGAAACUUUUUUUA